CCUGGCGGCACUAGCGCGGUGGUCCCACCUGACCCCAUGCCGAACUCAGAAGUGAAACGCCGUAGCGCCGAUGGUAGU
Molecule: ribosomal RNA, 78 nt
Filed under: Klebsiella oxytoca
Lineage: Bacteria; Pseudomonadati; Pseudomonadota; Gammaproteobacteria; Enterobacterales; Enterobacteriaceae
Also listed under: 19 other names
Source: RNAcentral